This is a long non-coding RNA of Pseudophryne corroboree (corroboree frog), 1476 nucleotides long. RefSeq lists it as uncharacterized. The transcript has 3 exons. The record is from RefSeq and is a predicted model, not a curated record. Lineage: Eukaryota; Metazoa; Chordata; Amphibia; Anura; Myobatrachidae.
CACCCAUGUUAAUUAGAUUAGCACUGCUGUGGUUCUGUAAGUGUCAGCAUACCCUGCCAGCCACUUUUCACAGCAAUAAAGUUUGCAUGGAAACAUAGAAUUUGACGGCAGAUAAUAACCACUUCGUCCAUCUCGUCUCCCCCAUUUAAUUUGUCCUUUUGGCAACUUCAACCCUAUUUGAAGCAUCUAUAUGCAACUGUGAUCCUGUCUUCAAUGCAACACUCUUGUUAAUGAAAUUACUACUGCUGAAAAUACUGGUCGAACACACCUCACCAUGUACCAGCCGGCACCAUUUAUAUUCAGAGAAUUAAUAUCAAGACCUGCAUUAAAGUAAUGGUCCACCAAUGCGAAGUCUGCGCUCUAAAGGAUGUCAUUGCAAGAAUAAACUUUUCAAAUCCUUCUUCACAGAAAGAUAUCUGCAGAUAAACACUCAGAGUUCAUUAACUUAUACCGUUCCCAUCCCUGUCUGUGGAAGGUCAAAUCGUCCGAUUAUAGUAAUAGACAAAAAAGAUAUGUUGCCAUACAGUCUCUAAUUGAACUGAGCAGACCUCUUUACCCACAUGCUGAUGUUGCGUGGGUUAAAAAUAAAAUUCUGAACUUUAGAACUGUAUUCACAAGAGAGACAAACAAAAUUGACACAUCCAAGAAAUCAGGUUGCGGUACUGAUGAUGUGUAUGUGCCUUGUCUCUGGUACUAUGAUCUGUUAAUGUUCACAAGAGACCAAGAAGCGAUAUGACCUUCCAUAAAUGAACAUAGCAAAGGAACAUCUACGGAAACCCUGGCUAUAAUGGAAGAACCAUUAACCGGCUUGGCAUCAGCUGCUGCAUCUACAAGUACUGAGACACCAAAUGAUCCCCAACAUCGGAAGAAAACUACAACACAAAAGAAGUUCCAUAAAAGAGAUGUUUGGAGGAAAAGGCAGAGUCACUUCUUGAUAAAGCCACAAAUAUACUAAAUCAUUCUAUGGACGAAUAUGAUGCCACAGUACUCACAUGGGGAGCAAAGUUGCGACGUAUACCACAGCAACAUCAACACUAUACAGAAAGACUUGUAAAUGAGAUACUGCAUAUGGCCUCCAUGGGAGAAAUUAAUGCAUAUACCUUUAUAUUAAAUUUGCCUUCUUAUAUGCCACCGCAUGAAGAACAUCAAAGGCCACAGGAUGGAAGCUUUAAUAGUGUGUUCCCUAAUAGCUCUCAGCAAACACAUCCAGAAACAUACUAUAGUAAACCACCUGAUGUGCCCCAACUCUCCACCAUGCAUGAUAGUUAUGCCUGUUCCCCUCUGCACCCUUCUCUUGUACAAAGAGCAUCUACCCCCUAUACAUGGUAACACUGAUGCCAUGGAUGAUUUGUCUUUUGACCCUAGAGAUGUUCACAAUAUUUCUCAACCACAGCCUUAUAAUUAUGUCAAUCUAUAAAAAUAAACAAAAAAACUUUAGGACCAUUUAAUACUGUAUCUAAACAUUUAUUGACAAUA